CAGCCCAUAAAAUAGAAAUCAACAGUGAGAGCUCAGAAAUUCCCAGACUGUUUUGAUGAUAAGGUCCAAGAACUUGCCAUGUGAUCCAUCACUACUAGACUCCCACAACUGCAUUAGAUUUGUUCAGGAUUUUCAUAUAAUUUUCAUAACUGGCUAAGUUCUGAAAUAACCCAUCUUGAAGACAUAAACAAUGUGCAUUGAUGGCUAGCCAGACUCUGUCCUGCCACAGUUCUCCUCCUACUCUUCAUUUCUUACCCCAAGGAGUAGUAAACAUGAAUCCUGACCCACCAAUGCAGUCCCAGAACUGAGAAAAGAUUCACUGCAGCUAAACACAUUGGAAAUGGAUGGGGAGAAGGCCUGAUGAAAAUUACUGAGGAAGCCUCUUAGCCUAUGUGCUCUGAGAGUAGUGACACCUAGCAGUCGUUCAAAAGAUGAUCAAGAGGAGCAUGAAAAAAUCCCCUGAAUCCAUUGGCUUUCUUCCCUAUACUGACAACAGUUUACUUGUGUAAGAGAUGCAUGCCUCGACUCCGGACCCCUUCUUUCAUCUGCAAAAUCAGCAGCACCCUCACAUCAUCUCCUGUAACAAACUCUCUCUGUCUCCUCCAUAUAAGGUCACUGAUGGUUACAUUUAGGGUCCAUGAUAUAAGGCCCUCUCCAGGGUGCCUGAGUUUGUUGUUUCAUCACAGAAUUACACGGAAGAGACUGGAAAGAUAACUCUUCAAAUGUCAAAUCAUUCCCCUAUAAAAAAUUUUGCCACAGCUGUUGAAAUAUGGCCUUAGGGUUUAUGACAGAAUUUGAACCAGCCCCAUGGAAAAUGCAUCUUGACUCUGCUUUUAUUCCUUUCCCUGCUGAGCUCCUAAUAGAAGAUGGAUGUCUAUUGCUUUUCUCUUGAUAUUCAUGGCACUGCUCCUCUCCAUCCAUAGGAUUAUCUUAUAGAUGAGGGUCUCAUCCUUUUGCCCAGGCUGGAGUACAG
This 973-nucleotide long non-coding RNA is filed under the name Homo sapiens (human). RNAcentral describes it as "HSALNT0375890". The record is from RNAcentral. Lineage: Eukaryota; Metazoa; Chordata; Mammalia; Primates; Hominidae.